Molecule: ribosomal RNA, 255 nt
Filed under: uncultured Acidobacteriaceae bacterium
Lineage: Bacteria; Pseudomonadati; Acidobacteriota; Terriglobia; Terriglobales; Acidobacteriaceae
Description: partial 16S ribosomal RNA
Rfam family: Bacterial small subunit ribosomal RNA
Source: RNAcentral
UCGAGCGAGAUGGGUAGCAAUACCUUAGUAAAGCGGCGUACGGGUGAGUAACACGUGGGUAUCCACCUCUUAGUGGGGAAUAACUCGGGGAAACCUGAGCUAAUACCGCAUAAGUCCGAGAGGAGAAAGCAGCAAUGCGCUGAGAGAGGAGCCCGCGGCCGAUUAGCUAGAUGGCGGGGUAAAGGCCCACCAUGGCGACGAUCGGUAGCCGGCCUGAGAGGGCACACGGCCACACUGGCACUGAAACACGGGCCA